Molecule: long non-coding RNA, 418 nt
Organism: Brassica napus (rape)
Lineage: Eukaryota; Viridiplantae; Streptophyta; Magnoliopsida; Brassicales; Brassicaceae
Exons: 4
Source: RefSeq, a predicted model, not a curated record
GUAAUAGAGCUGUAAAAGAGCUUGAGCAUAUCUUCAUUCGUGGCAGCAAAGUCAGGUUUAUGGUCAUACCAGACAUCCUCAAGCAUGCUCCCAUGUUCAAGCGCUUAGAUGCUCGAAUCAAGGUAUCUGCUUUCUGAUACCCUUGAUGUUAGCGUCUCUAUAUAAUACUUUAAUUGAUGCAGGGAAAGUGCGGAUCACUGGGUGUUGGCAGAGGUAGAGCUGCAAUGCGAGGAAAAGCUCCUGCUACUGGACGUGGAACCGGAGGAAGAGGAGCUGUACCACCUGUGAGGAGAUGAUCCGUCAACAUAUUCUGUGACUAAGCCAGCCUCUCCUGCUUUUGCUAUGUAUUACUUUAAGGUUCACUUGUUAAAACGAAUAUUAUCCUCUUAACAAGUAGAAGGCUAACUAGAGUGAAAGA